Molecule: ribosomal RNA, 228 nt
Filed under: uncultured bacterium
Lineage: Bacteria
Description: partial 16S ribosomal RNA
Rfam family: Bacterial small subunit ribosomal RNA
Source: RNAcentral
CGGGUGAGUAAUGUCUGGGAAACUGCCUGAUGGAGAGGGAUAACUACUGGAAACGGUAGCUAAUACCGCAUAACGUCGCAAGACCAAAGAGGGGGACCUUAGGGCCUCUUGCCAUCGGAUGUGCCCAGAUGGGAUUAGCUAGUAGGUGGGGUAACGGCUCACCUAGGCGACGAUCCCUAGCUGGUCUGAGAGGAUGACCAGCCACACUGGAACUGAGACACGGUCCAG